Molecule: ribosomal RNA, 497 nt
Filed under: uncultured bacterium
Lineage: Bacteria
Description: partial 16S ribosomal RNA
Rfam family: Bacterial small subunit ribosomal RNA
Source: RNAcentral
GAUGAACGCUGGCGGCGUGCCUAAUACAUGCAAGUCGAGCGAACAGACGAGGAGCUUGCUCCUCUGACGUUAGCGGCGGACGGGUGAGUAACACGUGGAUAACCUACCUAUAAGACUGGGAUAACUUCGGGAAACCGGAGCUAAUACCGUAUAAUAUAUUGAACCGCAUGGUUCAAUAGUGAAAGACGGUUUUGCUGUCACUUAUAGAUGGAUCCGCGCCGCAUUAGCUAGUUGGUAAGGUAACGGCUUACCAAGGCAACGAUGCGUAGCCGACCUGAGAGGGUGAUCGGCCACACUGGAACUGAGACACGGUCCAGACUCCUACGGGAGGCAGCAGUAGGGAAUCUUCCGCAAUGGGCGAAAGCCUGACGGAGCAACGCCGCGUGAGUGAUGAAGGUCUUCGGAUCGUAAAACUCUGUUAUUAGGGAAGAACAAAUGUGUAAGUAACUAUGCACGUAUUGACGGUACCUAAUCAGAAAGCCACGGCUAACUACGUG